CUCAAUUUCUCAUUCCAUUUAUUAAAUUUUUCUCUCUCCCUCUUUUGAUUUUUCUUUUGCCCUUCCUUUUUCUGCUUUUUCCCUCUCCUUUUAUCCAUUUUCCAAACCAUUCUCCCUUUUAUCAUCCCAUCAGACCACAAAUUUUUAAUUCUAAUUCCUUCCCCCCCCUGCUUAAAUAAUUGUUGUUCAUUUUGUCCUUCAAUGUUGGCUUCCUCUUUGUACAGUGAUAUCAAAUCCAC
This is a non-coding RNA of Pseudonaja textilis, 239 nucleotides long. Lineage: Eukaryota; Metazoa; Chordata; Lepidosauria; Squamata; Elapidae. The record is from RefSeq and is a predicted model, not a curated record.